ACCAUGUCAGGGUCUCAAGAUAGUUGCAAGUCCCUGAGACUUGCCAUCACUGCGGCUAAAUGAGAUCAUGCUCAGCCACAUUGACAUCAAAUAAUUUAAAAAGCUGCAUUUAGCUAUCCCCGUGAGUACUGCACGCAGCUCAUUUGGCAGUCUUAAGCCUAUGAAUAUGGCCCCAGCUGACAGAGGAGUGCUACAGGUCUCUGGUGUGAG
Pelobates cultripes (western spadefoot toad) is the source of this 210-nucleotide non-coding RNA. The record is from the annotation of a GenBank genome assembly. Lineage: Eukaryota; Metazoa; Chordata; Amphibia; Anura; Pelobatidae.